UGGGGAAUUUUGGACAAUGGGCGAAAGCCUGAUCCAGCAAUGCCGCGUGUGUGAAGAAGGCCUUCGGGUUGUAAAGCACUUUUGUCCGGAAAGAAAUCCUUGGCUCUAAUACAGUCGGGGGAUGACGGUACCGGAAGAAUAAGCACCGGCUAACUACGUGCCAGCAGCCGCGGUAAUACGUAGGGUGCAAGCGUUAAUCGGAAUUACUGGGCGUAAAGCGUGCGCAGGCGGUUUGCUAAGACCGAUGUGAAAUCCCCGGGCUCAACCUGGGAACUGCAUUGGUGACUGGCAGGCUAGAGUAUGGCAGAGGGGGGUAGAAUUCCACGUGUAGCAGUGAAAUGCGUAGAGAUGUGGAGGAAUACCGAUGGCGAAGGCAGCCCCCUGGGCCAAAUACUGACGCUCAUGCACGAAAGCGUGGGGAGCAAACAGGAUUAGAUACCCUGGUAGUCCACGCCCUAAAACGAUGUCAACUAGUUGUUGGGGAUUCAUUUCCUUAGUAACGUAGCUAACGCGUGAAGUUGACCGCCUGGGGAGUACGGUCGCAAGAUUAAAACUCAAAUGAAUUGACGGGGU
RNAcentral lists this ribosomal RNA (573 nucleotides) under uncultured bacterium. RNAcentral describes it as "partial 16S ribosomal RNA". It matches the Rfam family "Bacterial small subunit ribosomal RNA", at positions 355 to 919 of the family's 1533-position model. The record is from RNAcentral.